This 225-nucleotide ribosomal RNA is filed under the name uncultured bacterium. RNAcentral's name for it is "partial 16S ribosomal RNA". It matches the Rfam family "Bacterial small subunit ribosomal RNA", at positions 118 to 340 of the family's 1533-position model. The record is from RNAcentral.
UGAGCAAUCUGCCCUUCUCUUCGGAAUAAGCGUUGGAAACGACGUCUAAUGCCGAAUACGACCUCCUUUCGCAUGAUCGGAGGUGGAAAGCUCCGGCGGAGAAGGAUGAGCUCGCGGCCUAUCAGCUAGUUGGUGUGGGUAAUGGCCCACAAGGCGACGACGGGUAGCCGGCCUGAGGAGGGUCGACCCGGCCACACGUGGGACUGAGACACGGCCCAGACUCCG